UACGGAGGGGGCUAGCGUUGUUCGGAAUUACUGGGCGUAAAGCGCGCGUAGGCGGCUUUGUACGUUAGAGGUGAAAGCCCGGAGCUCAACUCCGGAAUUGCCUUUAAGACUGCAUCGCUAGAAUCAUGGAGAGGUGAGUGGAAUUCCGAGUGUAGAGGUGAAAUUCGUAGAUAUUCGGAAGAACACCAGUGGCGAAGGCGACUCACUGGACAUGUAUUGACGCUGAGGUGCGAAAGCGUGGGGAGCAGACAGG
Molecule: ribosomal RNA, 253 nt
Filed under: uncultured bacterium
Lineage: Bacteria
Description: partial 16S ribosomal RNA
Rfam family: Bacterial small subunit ribosomal RNA
Source: RNAcentral